RNAcentral lists this long non-coding RNA (1014 nucleotides) under Cricetulus griseus (Chinese hamster). Its description in RNAcentral is "lncRNA (ENSCGRG00015036693.1)". The record is from RNAcentral. Lineage: Eukaryota; Metazoa; Chordata; Mammalia; Rodentia; Cricetidae.
GGCGAAAUGCUGAAGGGCUCUCCUAUUCGGGGGAAUUCGGUAGUGAUGUAUAAGGUAUGAAAGAUGUAGCCUGCAGAGAGCCGGCACUAUCUCUACUGCUGCUGCUGCUGCCACCGCUGCCGCCGCCGCCGCCGCCACUACUGCUGCCAGCAGAGCUGUUGGGAGUGAGCCUCUCUUCUCCCAGAUAACCAGCUCCGUGGCAUCUCCCGCUCCUUGGCCCUACGCGGACCUCCCCGCCCCAGGGAACAAAAGCAGAGUCCAGCCGCCCUGUUCUGCAGCCAGAGGAUGAUGAGUCGAGUGGGCUGAGCGGAGAGUGUGGUCCUCAGCGGUUGGAAGACCCUGGCUUAUCAGAGGACAACAUGCUUUUGAAAUGCCACAUUAUUUUGUAAGUACAUUUCACGUCCGAAAGUCCCACUAAGUGUGAAAUACCGAAGACUUAUUGCUUGCGAUUCCGUUCUUUGUUGCUCCCGGGCUCCAGCACAAGGAUGUUAAAAUGGCCAUUUCCAUCAUCAGUCUCCUGACUUCCCGCUCAUCUUCUCCAAAUCAGUCAUCCAUCUCCCUCCCCCUCUUCUCUCUGUUGCCUCCCAUUUCUUCACCCUUUUGUUCAUUUAAGUGGGUUUCUUCCGCUGUCCCUUCUUUCCUUCCUUCCUUCCUUCCUUCCUUCCUUCCUUCCUUCCUUCCUUCCUCCCUCCCUCCCUUCCUCCCUCCCUCCCUCUCUCUCUCCUUCUUUAAUAGGUUUUCUUCCCUCCUUUCCUAUCAUUUGUUUGUUUGUUUCUCUCUUCCUCUCCUCCAUCCAUAAGUGUCUUUUCAUAGGGCAUCAUAAAACUGUAAACCUCAGCACACUGACUUGGGGCCUCAUAUUUAUUUGUUAUAGAGACUGCCAUGAGCAUUGUAGAAUUUUAACAGUGCCCUGAAUCCAGGAACCAAUCCCUCCUCCUCCCUGUGCUGUUCACCAAACAUGUGCUCAAGGCAUCACCAAGUGUCUGCAGAGGGGUGGAGGAGCUGGAGCUGUAC